RNAcentral lists this ribosomal RNA (460 nucleotides) under uncultured bacterium. RNAcentral's name for it is "partial 16S ribosomal RNA". It matches the Rfam family "Bacterial small subunit ribosomal RNA", at positions 338 to 795 of the family's 1533-position model. The record is from RNAcentral.
CCUACGGGGGGCAGCAGUGGGGAAUAUUGGGCAAUGGGCGCAAGCCUGACCCAGCAACGCCGCGUGAAGGAAGACGGUCCUACGGAUUGUAAACCUCUUUUGCCGGGGAGCAACGGGGUCCUUGCGAGGGCCCGAUGAGAGUACCCGGAGAAAAAGCAUCGGCUAACUCCGUGCCAGCCGCCGCGGUAAUACGGAGGAUGCGAGCGUUAUCCGGAUUUAUUGGGUUUAAAGGGUGCGUAGGCGGGCUGGUAAGUCGGCGGUCAAAUGUCGGGGCUCAACCCCGGCCUGCCGUUGAAACUGGCGGCCUCGAGUGGGCGAGAAGUAUGCGGAAUGCGUGGUGUAGCGGUGAAAUGCAUAGAUAUCACGCAGAACUCCGAUUGCGAAGGCAGCAUACCGGCGCCCGACUGACGCUGAGGCACGAAAGCGUGGGUAUCGAACAGGAUUAGAUACCCCUGUAGUC